RNAcentral lists this long non-coding RNA (11198 nucleotides) under Homo sapiens (human). RNAcentral describes it as "HSALNT0318711". Lineage: Eukaryota; Metazoa; Chordata; Mammalia; Primates; Hominidae. The record is from RNAcentral.
CUCUUCAAGCAAAAAGACUUAGCAAUUUUGGGAACUCUUCAAAUACCACCAUUCCAGUGAACCCCAUUGCCCUUAGGAUAAAAUCUGCAAUCCUUCACAAGCCUUUGAGGCCCUGCGUGAUGGGGUCCUACCUGCCUCUCCAGCUCCGGCUCCUGCCACUGGCCCCCAAACCUCCUGCACUCAACCACAAUGGCCACCACUCUGGUUUCUGACUGCCCCAAUUUCCUCUCCACCUUCAGCCUUUGCUUGUGCUGCGCCCUCCCCCUGGGGCUCUUCCUCUCUCUUUACCUGGCAAUCCUCCUUAUCCUUGUUCCAGGUUGAAUGUCAUCGGCAAAGAUCAGGCAAGCUCCUCCAUUAUGAUCUUCUGGGAUCAUAAGAUCAUUAAGAACUUCAUUACAGGUCUUAGCACAAGCGUGAAUAAUUACUAUUGCUUUAAAAUUGUGCUCCCCCACUGGCAGGGACUUUGUCUAUCAUAUACACCUAGCACUUAGUGCAAUGCUGAAUAUUUCGUAGGUCAAAUGCACAAAUGAAUGAAGUAGGUGCACAAAAGAUAUUGACUGCCUAUGAGAGAAUCUAACAAAGCAAACCCAGUAAAACAAAAUCUUCAUCUUAAAUGUGCACAAACUAGGGAGUGAGUAUUCUCUCCUACCUCUCCUCUCCAAUCAUUCUGGCACAAGGAUUUCAGAUGGUCCUGCCUUCCCAUCAGGGCUGUACCAUCAAAUCUACUGCCUGGCUUUCAGGACCCUCCCUUAUCAUUAUCAUCAUCAUGAACAUUAUUGAACAUGUAAUAUGUUCCAUGUGCAUUACUCAGUAUUCUCUACUGAUCUAUUUUGAUCCUCACUGCAAUCCAUAAAAUAGUGCAGUGUAUUAAAGAUGGGCACAGAUGCAUAAAUUCUUUGACAUUUCUCUCAUUGAGAGGUGGGGUCUUUGUCCCCUCCCCUUGAAUCUGAGCUAUCAUGUGACUGCUUUGACCAAUAGAGUGCACAGGAAAUCAUGUCAUGCCUUUUCCAGUUUCUGUGUCGGAAUGGUCACUCUGGGGGAAGACUGCUUACAACUAAUGACUAACACCUAAUUGGCACAAAGAAUGUAAGAAGUCUGACUCCCCUGAGACUGCAGGGAGGAAACUCGAGCUGGUUGCAGGGAGAGGUCCUGGGGAAAGAAUGCCCUUCCAGCCCCCAGCUGUUGCAACCAUGCCAGCCCGGGUGCCAGGCACGUACAUGAAGGCACUAUCUUGCACAUCCAGCCCAGUGGAGCCUUCAGCUGACUCCAGCCCCAGCCACAGGAGAAGCUCCAUGACAGACCACUCAGCUGACCCCAGUUAACCCCCAAAAUUGUAAGAGAGAAUAACAAAUUAGUAUUUUAAGCCACUAGAUUGUGGGGAGGAUUAUUAGGCAGCAAUAAAUAGCCAAAACACAUAGGCACUAUUAUGACCCUGGCUUUAUAAAUGAGAAACUGAGACCCAGCACACUCAAAACCACACAGCUGGGAAGGGGUGGAGCUGGGAGCCCAAUCCAGGAAGGCUGGCUUCAGAACCCAGGCUUUCAUCAUCCAUGCAGCCACACCACUCUUUGGCAGGCAACUUUUUCCAUUUGACUCCUCCAAGACAUAGUCUCUACUGCUGUUGUGCCUCUAAAAGGGUCCCCUUCUCUUUCCUUCUGCCCAUGUGCCUAAUCCCCUACCUCUAUCAUGAUCCCCUCUCUGAAUCCUCUACUGAUAUGCCCUUCCUCCAAAUUCCUGGGUACAUUUAAAGAUAGGCAUCUAGCCUUACCAUUCAUUGUUCUAGUAAUAUUCUUCAUGCUGUUUUUUGCUUCACAACUAUACGUUAUCUCCUUAAAGGUCAAGACUAAAUCUCCUAUUUUGAUUUUGCCCACCUCUCCAGAAAACCUUGCCCAUCCCCACUUUGCCCAGCACAAUGCUGUGCACUCAAUAAAUGCACCCUCCAGCCAUACUGGCCAAGCUCAUUCCCUUUUCAGAGCCUUUAUGUUUGCAGUUCCCUUUCCCUGGAAUACGCUUUCUUAGCUUUCAACCUGAGCUGCUCCUUCACAGCACUCAGAUCUCAGAAAAUAUCUCCCCUCCACCAACAGGCCUAUCCUGACCACCCUGUCUAAAGGAGCCACGCCUCCCCACCCCUAGUCAGCCACUCACCAUCUCCUUAUCCUGCAUUGUAUUAAUUAGUUGUCAGUUUCUUAAUUCCCUUAGGUAGCAAACAAGUUCCAGAAGGACAGAACAUGCCCAUCUUGUUUAUUGCUAUAGUCUCAAUCCCCAGGACAGUUUCUGGCCUAUAGUAACAUCUCAAAAAAUAUUGUUAAAUAAAUGAAUGCAUAUUUGUUGAUUGAAUCUUCACUUCAUAAGAUCUGCCACCAUGGAGCAGUUGUGCUCAUGUACACAAAACAUUUUCCCCUAUCAUGUCAGUUGCAUCUUCAGCAUAAUGUGCAACCUUCCACUUCUCAUGCAGAAAGACUAUACUUGCCUCUAAGGUGAACUCUGUGUUUAUUUUAUAUAUAUAUAUAUAUAUUUUAAGUUCUGGGAUACAUGUGCAGAACGUGCAGGUUUGUUACAUAAGUAUACAUGGGCCAUGGUGGUUUGCUGCACCUGUCAACCCAUCAUAUAGGUUUUAAGCCCCACAUGCAUUAGGUAUUUGUCCUAAUGCUCUCCCUCCCCUUGCCCCCAACCCCUUGACAGGCCCCGGUGUGUGACGUUCCCCUCCCUGUGUCCAUGUGUUGUCACUGAGGUAAAUUCUGUGUUUAUUUAGCCAGUUGUUGACGUCGGGCAGUAGUCUACAUGCUGCUUUGGUUGUCCAAACCAUUUUUCACAACUGAGUUCUCAGAAGAACAGUGGGUUUUUUUUUGUUUUUGUUAUUGUUUUGUUUUGUUUUCAUUUUUCUUUUAUAGAGACAGGGGCUCAUUGUGUUGCCCAGGCUGAUCUCAAACUCCUGGGCUCAAGCAAUCCAUUCACCUCGGCCUCUCAAAGUGCUGGGAUUACAGGCAUGAACCACCAUGCCUGGCCUAGAAGAGUGCAUUUAAAGCUGGUCGAGGAGCCUCUAGGAUGACCCCAAGAAGAGAGGGUGGCCAAGCAGGCUUAGUACGACAUGCAUUAAUAAAGGCCACAUUGCAGGGAUGAUGAAAUGAGAAUAUUAAAUCCAAUGGAGGUCCAUUUUGCUCACUAUGGUAAACACAGAAAUUCAUCCUGGUAUCUAGAACAGAGUAAAUCCUCAAUAAACACUUGUUGAAUGAACAAAGGAACAAACCAAUGAAUUAAUGAAACAUCUUUACCUUGUGUCUCAUUUCUUAUCACUUAUCAUUUCAAUAUGUGCAAGAACUCAGAGUACAUUUUUCAUUUUGUGUAUGUGAAACUUACCAACAAAAUAGUAGCUAAAAAGUUGUAAAACUUACAAGUUUUCAACAACAAAGUUGAAAUGUAAAUGAACAUCUGUGCUCCCCGAAAUACAUAAUAGGCAAGUAGAGAAAUCUAGAAAGGAAAGGCCACAGGCUGAGGGAGUUAACAGAUGCGAUAGUCUAUUAACAUUAAUUUUCUGAAGUGUAUAUUUCAGAAAUUUGCUCAGCCUCGCUGAGUCUCAGUUUCCUCAACUGUAUACUGAAGACAAUUUCUUUAUUUACCAACCUGAAAUAUUCAUAGUGAGUCUAAGAUGGAAGAACAGAUGAGUAAAUACUUUAAAAGUGUAAUAAGAGGCCAGGCGUUGUGGCUCACACCUGUAAUCCCAGCACUUCGGGAGGCCAAGGCGGGCAGAUCAUUUGAGGUCAGGAGUUCGAGACCAGACUGGCCAACAUGGCAAAACCCUGUCUCUACAAAAACUACAAAAAUUAGCUGGGCGUGGUGACACGCGCCUGUAAUCCCAGCUACUCAGGAGGCUGAGAGGCAUGAGAAUCACUUGAACCCAGGAGGUGGUGGUUACACUGAGCUGAGAUUGUGCUGCUGCACUCCAGCCUGGGCAACAGAGCAAGACUCCAUCUCAAAAGAAAAAAAAAAGUGUAAUAGGAAUAUGAGCUAAUCGACAGUUUCCAUCUUCCUCUCUUUCUGACAUUUCAAAUACUUAAAAAUACUUUUAAAAAUUUUUUAAUCAAUGUAAUAUAUUUUUUACUAUUUCUGAGUUUCAUGAUUCAUUCACAAAUGACUAUUACCUGUUUGUUCCAAAUACUCAAUCUGCAAAGUUUUUCCUAAUCAUUUUAUAAUUCUUCACUCGUUUUUAUUCUGUUCUCUCUGCUUUUCAGCAAAGGAUCUCAUGGUAUAGAGAGCUUCUCCAUCUUACCAGAGGCAGAGAGCAAGUUAGAAACAGCAAAGAAAAAAUCAAACUCUUGAGCCUCUAGUCUGUGGUUUAUAGUAUAGAGCCCAAACAACUGGGCCUAUAAAAUUGUCACUAGUGGCGGUGUGCGGUGGCUCACACCUGUAAUCCCAGCACUUUGGGAGGCCAAGGAGGGAGGAUCACCUGAGGUCAUGAGUUCAAGACCAGCCUGGUCAACAUGGUAAAACCCUGAUUCUACUAAAAGUACAGAAAUUAGCCAGGUGUAGUGGCGGGUGCCUGUAACCCCAUCUACUCAGGAGGUUGAGGCAGGAGAAUCUCUUAAACCUGGGAGGUGCUGGUUGCAGUGAGCUGAGUUAGUGCCACUGCACUCCAGCCUGUGCAACAGAGGAAGACUCCAACAACAACAACAAAAAAAAAAAAAAAAAAAAAAAAAGGCACUAAGAGAAAAGUCAGAACAUAGAAACUAGUCCAUUGGCUCUCAAAUUCAGGGUGGCAUCAGAAUCACUUGGAAGCCUUGUUAAAACACAGACUGUUGCAUCCUCACACCCCACCCCAAAGUUUUAGGAGUUCUGGGGUAGUGUCUGGGAUCCUGUAUUUCUAACAGGAAUUUUGUAUUUCUAACAGGAAAAUUGGCACUACAUUCCCAUGUAAUGCCAAUGCUACUGGUCUGCCAGUCACACCGUGAGAACCAAGUACCUCGCCUUUUCAUACACUAACUCCUUUGAUUCUCCCCAACAAUCCUUUCCCAUUUUAUAGAUGAGAAAACUGAAGCCCAAAGAAUAAGCUCUACUCGCAUUCCAGCUUGAUGAUUAACCAAAUCACUAUAAUCUUCAGAAAGUGAAUUAACUUUUCUGUGGCUCAUUUUCUUCAUCUACUGAAAAAAUAUUGUCAGGUACUUCGUGAGGAUUAAAAGGACAGUGGUGUCUAAGAAGUGCUCCGCAAAGUCAAAGACAAGGCAGAAUUCUAGGAAUCUCACUUAGCACAUGGUUGUGUUUUUGUCACUUUUUUAUUUGCAUGGGAAAUUUUUAACCACAGUCUUGGCAAAGUACUCCAUCCCAUUGUCCAAACAUCAGUAUCCACAGAUUCUGUUUUCCGAGGUUUUGUUUUGUUUGUUAAUUACUGAGUUUGUUUUUCCAAGAACUUCCCUUAUGUGCUAUAAGUGGAGGAUGUUGGGGGGCAUGUGAAGGUGGGGAGCUGUUUCAAACACAUUGAACAUUUCCAUUUCUAAGACAAUGCUCGACUGGAUAGACAGUGUUCCCUAUGAUGUGAUACAUAGUUAUGUUGGAGAUUAGUGCGAGCAUAGCCUCCUUUGGUAUAAGGUUCUCUGAUUUGGCUUUCAGAGGAUUCAGUGUAUUUUGAUUUCUAUAUUUAGAAACCCAAGGCUUUUUGGUAUGCUAUGAACACAUCGAGGCAAGACUAAUUGUAAGCACUUGUACUUAAAUAUUAGUUUCAAGAAUAAGAACCUUCAGAGGUUUCCAUAUUGUAUUCCACUGGAGUAUCAUUAAGGGAAGCAAUUACUUAUCAGGGUAUACUCAAAACAACUAUCGCAUUCGGAGGAAAUAAUGGGAGUUGUCUGUCUAAAUUGCUAGGCAGGGGCCCUGGAAAUCACUUAGCAUAAUUCUUGGCAUAAGGUAAGCAGUCAAUACAUGGAACAGAGAUUCACCCAAAUGAGCACAUAGUAUGUGUUAGGAUUUUACACAUAGCAUGUCAUUGAGUCUUUAUAAUGUCCCCUGAUUUAGGUAUGGCUGUUCAUUUAUAGAUGAGGAAACUGAGAUUCAUGGAAGUUAGGCGAUGUUUAUCAGGUCCUUAGGGAAGUAGGUGAGGGCUGAAUUUAUGAUGCCAGCCCAUAGGUGCUUGAUGUCAAAAGCAAUUUUCUUUCCACUACACUAGGCUAUUUCCUUCCUUGCCUCUUUCCUUUUUGUCUUCCCUCCUCUAUAGGGUUCCUUCCACAAAUAUCAGAAGUCUUUGUGAAUGCCAGCCAACAACCACUGUCAGCAAGGUAUUCCCAUUUUAUGGAUUGGUUCAUAGUAGAAAAAAGUGAUACCUCAAAGCCACCCCCGAAAAGUUUCAGUAUAAAAUACGUAACUUCUUUCUGAAUCCUAUUCCUCAGCCCUCAACUAUAAGCGCGAGGGUACGUUACAGAGGAUCCUUUAUUUAGGAAAACAAAGUGUUUGGGUCUAGACAACAGGCCCAUGACAGUCCAUCACCCAGGGCCAAGGCUCCCAGCUGCCCAAGGUGGCUGAGAUACAUGGGAGGAAAAACUGGUCUUGCUUCCAAUUUGAAUUGCAAAUGCUUCCUGGAGACAGAAGUCAGGCGGAUAUGCCCAUUUAUUUAUUGCCUAGUGCUACAAUAGCUAAAUAAAAAUAAAUAAAUAAAAGUAAAGCACCUACUGAUUUAUUAUUCAGAAUAAAUACAUAAAUAAAGGCCUAGAGCAAUAAAAAGGGUUAAUUGAGGGCUUUCUUUGCAUUUUCCCCUAAACACCAGUUGUCUUUCUCUUCUAUUUCUUCACUUUUUUUCCCCCGUUUUUAUGCCUCAUGCCUCUUUUAAUUUUUUCUGUUUUCCACAUCCUUUCUCUAUCUUUCUGUCCCUCUCUUCAAGAACCGUUCCCCUUCAUCUCCUGAGCACCUCCUCUCUAGUAUUUUGUGUCUGGUUCCAAGAGGAAAUAGCAGAGCAGUAGAGUUUUCACCUCCCUGUUGGCAAGUGCUUUGUGUCACACUGUCACUUAGGACACACUGAUCUAUAGGUCUCUUCUGCUGCUGAGAAGAGACAGGGAUGGUGAAGGUACAUCUCGAGCUGGGAUAUUUUCUCCUAAAAUGUACCCUAAAAAUUGCACCCAGCAUCUAAUUUUAAAUGGAUUACAGAACUGGAUUUUUUUCACGGCUUUUUCUUACUAUAAAAGUAAUAAAUACUUACUGAAAAUACAGAAAAAUAUAAAGAGAGUAAUCACCCAUUCUUACUGUAAUAUGAAAGCAAUCACUAUUAAAUGUGUAUGCCUUUUAUCCCUGUAUUUUAACAAACAUCACGUUUGUUCAUAUAUAUCACUAAUGAUAUAUCACACAUUCAUGUAUCACUAAUUUUACAUACAUGCAUGCACUGUUCACAUUAUUCUAAUUCUCAUCAACAUCAUUAUGGCUGCAUCUUAUUCCAAUGUGUGAACAUACCAAAAUACACUGAGUCAUACUUCUUUUGGUAGAUAGCUGGCUUUUUGUUUUUUUUCCAUUUUUUGCGUUAUAAAUAACGCUGCCAUGAGGCAAACACAGUGGCUUGCACCUGUAAUCCCAGCUACUUGGGAGGCUAAGGAAGGAGGACUGCUUGAGGCCAAGAGUUGGAGGCCAUCCUGGGCAACAUAGCAAGAUCCACCCAUCUCUAAAAAAUAAAAUUUAAUUUAAAAUAAUAAUAAAUAAAUAAUGUUACCAUGGAUGACUUUGUGCAAAAAGUUAUUUCUGCAAUUUUCAAUGGUUUCCUUGGGAAAUAAUUCCAAAAGUAAAAUUGUGGAAUCAAAGGUUAUGAAUGCUUUUAAGGCUCUGUAAAUUGCAUUCCAAAAAGUUCGUGCUCUCUCCAAAUCCCUUACCACACUAAGAAUCGUUCUUAUAAAUUGGGUAAAGAAAUGUUAUAAAGCAAAUAACCACCCUCUGAUUUGUCCUUUGUGAAACAGGCAAAAAAUUGGGAGCCCAUCUUUCCUCUGACUCUCACCGCCCCACCCAAUUCCACCUGUGGAGGGUCACCAGCUUAUGACCUCUAGGUUUUGUCUCACCUUUUUGCAAGACAAGCCAAAUAAAGCCAUUCUCUUAUUCAUUCAUUCAACCACUCGUGAACAGCUACGGAGUAGUUAUUUGCCAGGCCCUGUGCCAGUGCUGAGGAUAUAAAGAUGAAUAGAACAUUAUCCCUAACUUACAUGAACAAUGGUGUGGUGGGACAGACAGACAUGAAAAUAAGACAUGAAAAUAAGUCUGGUGGGGCGACCAGAGCUCAUGGAGGCAGGCGUGGAGCGCUCCAGGUCCUCCGAGAGGAGCCCCUACUGAGCGUGGGGAGAUGAUGUCUGACCAGUCCCUAGGUGACAUCAUAACAUAACAGUUACUCUUUCCUCUGUACUUACAAGCAUUGCCUCAUUUACCCUCAGAACACCUCCACUAAGGAGAUCUUAUUGCUCUUUUACAAAUGAAAAAAAAAAAAAAAAUGAGGUUGAGCAAAUUAAAUAACUUGUCCCAGAUCACACAGCUAAGAAAGGGCGAAACCAAAUGUAACUAUAAAUUCAAAACUUCACAUUGGACUCAUCAAGGGUCUACCAAAAAGGCUCCAUCAGCCCAAAUAAGGUUCCCCCAAGACUUGAGCUCCGACGACCCCAUUCCAUCCAUUAAUGACAAAGAGAGGUGCAACCCCUUCUCAAGCCCGCAUCUUCCCAGCAGCCUCCCUUGCUUUGUCCUGCAGGGGUGGCUUUCCUACCUUCUGCUCCUUGUCAUCCGGUCUGAACUCCCCUCUUCUCUUGAGCACGGUGACCCUCAGCACUUCACCCUGCCUAGCCUUGCCAUUUGGCUAUAAAAUUUGUUUUAACUGCCAGGAAACUGAUGGAAUUAUAAAAGAUCCAUGAUGAUUCUCGGGGCCCUGCCUUCUUUGUCUCUAAAGCAAUGCGAUCAGAAAUGAUGAUUUGUGAGCCCCUGUGUAAUUCUCACGGUAUAAAAUCCUGCGAGCCACUGAACCACACCGAGCGCAUUUAGAGUUGCUAUUAGAAUACAAAAGCAAAGGUUUGGUUCAAACUGAAAAGGCAGACACUUGUGGCCUCUUCCAAUGAAGAAGAAAGGAAAAGAAGUAUUUUAAUGAUGUUUUUUAAUCAUUUCCUCAGAGCACACAAUGAGAAUAUAUUUGCUGGGGAAUGAAAAAGAACACAACAUCAAUUCAGUGCACAAAACUACUCUAAAACCUAAGGAUCUAUUCUCACAUUUUUCAUUAAUUCCAUCCAGGCUGAUAACUUUCAACAUUAAGCCUCCGUGCUUCAUCCAACUCAAGUUUCCUAGAAGCACACAAACAAAUCAAAAUUCAUUUGGGGUUGCCAAGAAGUCUUUCAAAUAUGGGAUACCAACCCCCGUUUCAAGUCCUUUUCACUGCCCAAAUUCCAACCUCAACUAUGCAUUCUCCAUUAAAAACGUUCACCCAUCAAUCCUGUUGGUUUCAUCAUGAAGUUAUAGGGACUGAAGACUCAUCUUGCUAUGUAAUAGCAACAAAGAUGGUCUCAAACACAGCUUUCCAACAAAAGCACAAAGCUUGAAAAAAAAAUGGCUUAAUUCCAAAGGCCCCACUGGGAUGUUAGCCUCCCUUCCAUAAGAACCUCCAAUGUCUCAUUGUUUACAAUCAGUUCAGUACACUUUUAAAAAUCUUUAUUAUUGUGGUAAAAUAUCCAUGACAUGAAAUUAGCCAUUUUAACCACUUUUAAAUGUAUAGUUCAGUGGCAUUAAGUCCAUUCAUAUUGCUUUCAACCAUCACUGCUAUCCUGUACCCACUAAAAAAUAAAUUGCUAUCCCUCCCUCCCGUCAUGUCCUGGUAACCUCCAUUCUAUUUUCUGUCCGCAUGAAUUUGACUAGGUCCCUCAUGUAAGUGGAAUCACAUAUUUGUUCCUUGUGUGUCUGGCCUAUUUCCCUUAGCACACUGUCUUCAAGGUUCAUCCAUGUGUGUGUGUGUGUGUGUGUAUAUAUAUAUAUAUAUAUAUAUAUACACACACACACACACACACACACACACAUCAGAAUUCCAUUCCUGUUUAAGGCUGAAUAAUAUUCCAUUGUAUUCAGUUCAGUACUCUUUGCAUGAUGUUUUAAGCCUUCCACAUUCUGGCCUGAUUUUUUUUUUCUUUAUCUUAUUUCCCAUUUCAGAGACCUACAUGCCUAGGGCAGAGAAGAUGAGUCAGGAAUUCAUCACCUUUUUCCCAGAGAUUUUAAGCCUUUUUACCUUUGUUCACACUGGUCCCUUAACCCAGCACAUCCUCCAUCGUGCUUUCUCUAAUCAAAAUCCUAGUUGUUCCCUGCGCUCAAUUAAUGCCCGUUCCACCAUGUGGAUCCAUGCAUACUAUGGAGCACCCUCCAAUUACAGUCGGACCAGCUGUAAAAUGUGUGCUUUCAUCACAGCCAAUGGCGCUCAAAGUCACCUUCUCUGAAACAAGACAGUUUAAAAUACAGUUUUCAAUUAUUUGGCAAGCCCUGUUUUAGGUUUGUUUUAUUUUGCUUUGUUUUUUUCAGACGGAGUCUAGCUCUGUCGUCCAGGCUGGAGUGCAGUGGUGCGAUCUCGGCUCACUGCAACGUCCACCUGCCGGGUUCACUCCAUUCUCCUGCCUCAGCCUCCCGAGUAGCUGGGACUACAGGCGCCCACCACCACCCCCGGCUAAUUUUUGUAUUUUUAGUAGAGGCAGGGUUUCACCGUGUUAGCCAGGAUGGUUUCCAUCUCCUGACCUCGUGAUCCGCCUGCCUCAGUCUCCCAAAGUGCUGAGAUUACAGGCGUGAGCCACCGUGCCCGGCCUAGGUUUUUAAAAAAUAGAAAUUUCUUUUUAUUUAAAGCCAGGAAAAAAAAUAACGUGACUAAUGUGUAUUGAGAACACACAUAAAAUAAAAAUAUUGCAUGUAUAAUCUCAGUUUUAAAAUGUAGUCAUGAAUAGCCUUUGGGGGCACUGGACUAUUUCUAAUGUAAACAUUUUGAACUAUAGAGAUAUAGCACUUUAUUCAGAAAAUAAUACAAAUAUUCAUCUCCACUCGAUUUUCUUUCCCAGUUAUAAACAAGAAAUAUAUUAAAUGGCAUAAAUAAACUGACAAAAAAGAACGCACAACUUUGCUACUUAAACGGCUUAUUGAAAAUUCUGACUGGCUAUUUCUCUGUAAGAUUUGCAGUGCCUUAGAUUUUAUACAUCCUUUUUGUGGUUAAAUUAGUAAUAACAGCAUUAAAAUCUUAAGAACUG